UAUUGUUCUUCAACGAGGAAUCCCUAGUAAGCACAAGUCAUCAGUUUGUGCUGAUUACGUCCCUGCCCUUUGUACACACCGCCCGUCGCUACUACCGAUUGAAUGGCUUAGUGAGGCCCUCGGAUUGGGUUUCGAAGACUGGCAACAGUCUUUGGAUUCUAAGAAGUUGGUCAAACUUGGUCAUUUAGAGGAAGUAAAAGUCGUAACAAGGUUUCCGUAGGUGAACCUGCGGAAGGAUCAUUACCGAUUUGAGCGAGCCUGGUCUUUUUGAUUAUGGUCUCGCGAAACUUUGUAUUUAAAACCCCACUCUUGUUAAUUAUAAAACAAUAUUAUAUUAUGAUAAAUAAAGAUCACUUUCAACAACGGAUCUCUUGGCUCUCGCAUCGAUGAAGAACGUAGCGAAGUGCGAUAAGUAAUGUGAAUUGCAGAAUUCCGUGAAUCAUCGAAUCUUUGAACGCAAAUUGCACUCUCUGGUAUUCCGGAGAGUAUGCCUGUUUGAGGGUCAGUUUAAAUAAAAAUCGAAGUGUUGCUUUUUGUGACGCAUCGGAAUUGGGUUAUCUUUGAUCUUGAAUAAAGGUUUAAGAGACCUAAAAUUGACAUAUUUGCGCAUCUCAGACGUACAUAAAGAAUAUUUUUUUAUCCGUCCAGAGUUGCCAACUCUUAUUAGGUAUGACCAUGUUGUUUGUGGCAUUGUACCUAUAAUAUUACUCAUAUUUUGACCUCAAAUCAGGUAGGAAUACCCGCUGAACUUAAGCAUAUCAAUAAGCGGAGGAAAAGAAAAUAACAAUGAUUCCCCUAGUAACUGCGAGUGAAGAGGGAUAAGCUCAAAUUUUAAAUCUGUUGGGUUUUACCUAACCGAGUUGUAAUUUGAAGAGGCGUUUUCCGCGUUUUUUGGUUAGUCCAAGUCCUUUGGGAUAAGGCAUCAUGGAGGGUGAGAAUCCCGUUCGGCUAACCGAAAUUCGUUUUAUGAUACGUCUUCUAAGAGUCAAGUUGUUUGGGAUUGCAGCUUAAAAUGGGAGGUAAAUUUCUCCUAAGGCUAAAUAUUGGCGAGAGACCGAUAGCGAACAAGUACCGUGAGGGAAAGAUGAAAAGUACUUUGAAAAGAGAGUUAAAAAGUACGUGAAAUUGUUGAAAGGGAAACGCUUGAAGCCAUGCAGGCCUUCUGGGGCAACCUGGUUGGCUGGCCAACAUCAGUUUGAUUUGCUGGACAAUGUUAUCAGGAAGGUAGGUGAUCUUCGGAUCACUGUUAUAGACUGGUAUCAAUACAGUGGAUUGGACUGAGGACAGCGGCGCGAGCUUUUAGCUGCGAGUCUGUUCGCUGGGAGGAUACCGCUUAUAGACAGCUUGCUGACUAUGAGUGAGUACUCCGACCACCCGUUCAGCGCUUGUCACACGCGCCAAGGAUGUUGGUAGAAAUCGGCUUUAAACGACCCGUCUUGAAACACGGACCAAGGAGUCUAACAUGUGUGCGAGUGUU
This 1477-nucleotide ribosomal RNA is filed under the name uncultured Glomus. RNAcentral describes it as "eukaryotic LSU rRNA". The stretch from base 717 to 1477 matches the Rfam family "Eukaryotic large subunit ribosomal RNA", at positions 1 to 694 of the family's 3401-position model. Lineage: Eukaryota; Fungi; Glomeromycota; Glomeromycetes; Glomerales; Glomeraceae. The record is from RNAcentral.